Molecule: ribosomal RNA, 1675 nt
Filed under: Escherichia coli
Lineage: Bacteria; Pseudomonadati; Pseudomonadota; Gammaproteobacteria; Enterobacterales; Enterobacteriaceae
Also listed under: 1 other name
Description: bacterial LSU rRNA
Rfam family: Bacterial large subunit ribosomal RNA
Source: RNAcentral
AUGCUGGAGGUAUCAGAAGUGCGAAUGCUGACAUAAGUAACGAUAAAGCGGGUGAAAAGCCCGCUCGCCGGAAGACCAAGGGUUCCUGUCCAACGUUAAUCGGGGCAGGGUGAGUCGACCCCUAAGGCGAGGCCGAAAGGCGUAGUCGAUGGGAAACAGGUUAAUAUUCCUGUACUUGGUGUUACUGCGAAGGGGGGACGGAGAAGGCUAUGUUGGCCGGGCGACGGUUGUCCCGGUUUAAGCGUGUAGGCUGGUUUUCCAGGCAAAUCCGGAAAAUCAAGGCUGAGGCGUGAUGACGAGGCACUACGGUGCUGAAGCAACAAAUGCCCUGCUUCCAGGAAAAGCCUCUAAGCAUCAGGUAACAUCAAAUCGUACCCCAAACCGACACAGGUGGUCAGGUAGAGAAUACCAAGGCGCUUGAGAGAACUCGGGUGAAGGAACUAGGCAAAAUGGUGCCGUAACUUCGGGAGAAGGCACGCUGAUAUGUAGGUGAAGCGACUUGCUCGUGGAGCUGAAAUCAGUCGAAGAUACCAGCUGGCUGCAACUGUUUAUUAAAAACACAGCACUGUGCAAACACGAAAGUGGACGUAUACGGUGUGACGCCUGCCCGGUGCCGGAAGGUUAAUUGAUGGGGUUAGCGCAAGCGAAGCUCUUGAUCGAAGCCCCGGUAAACGGCGGCCGUAACUAUAACGGUCCUAAGGUAGCGAAAUUCCUUGUCGGGUAAGUUCCGACCUGCACGAAUGGCGUAAUGAUGGCCAGGCUGUCUCCACCCGAGACUCAGUGAAAUUGAACUCGCUGUGAAGAUGCAGUGUACCCGCGGCAAGACGGAAAGACCCCGUGAACCUUUACUAUAGCUUGACACUGAACAUUGAGCCUUGAUGUGUAGGAUAGGUGGGAGGCUUUGAAGUGUGGACGCCAGUCUGCAUGGAGCCGACCUUGAAAUACCACCCUUUAAUGUUUGAUGUUCUAACGUUGACCCGUAAUCCGGGUUGCGGACAGUGUCUGGUGGGUAGUUUGACUGGGGCGGUCUCCUCCUAAAGAGUAACGGAGGAGCACGAAGGUUGGCUAAUCCUGGUCGGACAUCAGGAGGUUAGUGCAAUGGCAUAAGCCAGCUUGACUGCGAGCGUGACGGCGCGAGCAGGUGCGAAAGCAGGUCAUAGUGAUCCGGUGGUUCUGAAUGGAAGGGCCAUCGCUCAACGGAUAAAAGGUACUCCGGGGAUAACAGGCUGAUACCGCCCAAGAGUUCAUAUCGACGGCGGUGUUUGGCACCUCGAUGUCGGCUCAUCACAUCCUGGGGCUGAAGUAGGUCCCAAGGGUAUGGCUGUUCGCCAUUUAAAGUGGUACGCGAGCUGGGUUUAGAACGUCGUGAGACAGUUCGGUCCCUAUCUGCCGUGGGCGCUGGAGAACUGAGGGGGGCUGCUCCUAGUACGAGAGGACCGGAGUGGACGCAUCACUGGUGUUCGGGUUGUCAUGCCAAUGGCACUGCCCGGUAGCUAAAUGCGGAAGAGAUAAGUGCUGAAAGCAUCUAAGCACGAAACUUGCCCCGAGAUGAGUUCUCCCUGACCCUUUAAGGGUCCUGAAGGAACGUUGAAGACGACGACGUUGAUAGGCCGGGUGUGUAAGCGCAGCGAUGCGUUGAGCUAACCGGUACUAAUGAACCGUGAGGCUUAACCUU